UUCCGGUUGAUCCCGCCGGAGGCUACCGCUAUUGGAGUUCGAUUAAGCCAUGCGAGUCGCGAGAAUUAGAUUCUCGGCGUACCGCUCAGUAACACGUGGGUAACCUGCCCUAUGCUGGAUAAUAACCUCGGGAAACUGAGAAUAAUGAUCUAUAGUUCACUACGCCUGGAACGGUGAGUGGAUGAAAGCUCCGGCGGCAUAGGAUGGGCCUGCGGCGUAUCAGGUUGUAGGGGGUGUAAUGUACCCUCUAGCCCUCUACGCGUACGGGUGUUGAGAGACAUCGCCCGGAGAUGGAUUCUGAGACACGAAUCCAGACCCUACGGGGUGCAGCAGGCGCGAAAACUUGGCAAUGCGAGAAAUCGUGACCAGGGAACUCCAAGUGCAUGGGGUAAGACCUAUGCUUUUCUAGACUCUAAAAAGGUCUUGGAAUAAGAGGUGGGUAAGGACGGUGCCAGCCGCCGCGGUAAUACCGGCGCCUCAAGUGGUAGUCGCUUUUAUUGGGCCUAAAACGUCCGUAGCCGGUCUGAUACAUUCGUGGGUAAAUCAACCAGCUUAACUGGUUGAAUUCUGCGAGGACGGUCAGACUUGGGACCGGGAGAGGUGUGGGGUACGCUCAGGGUAGGGGUAAAAUCCUGUCAUCCUGAGCGGACCACCUGUUGCGAAGGCGCCACACUAGAACGGAUCCGACGGUCAGGGACGAAGCCUAGGGGCACGAACCGGAUUAGAUACCCGGGUAGUCCUAGGUGUAAACGCUGUGGACUUGAUGUUGGGGGUGCUCCGAGCACUCUCAGUGUCGAAGCGAAGGCGAUAAGUCCACUGCCUGGGAAGUACGGUCGCAAGGCUGAAACUUAAAGGAAUUGGCGGGGGAGCACCGCAACCUGAGGAUUGUGCGGUUUAAUUGGAUUCAACGCCGGA
This 915-nucleotide ribosomal RNA is filed under the name uncultured marine archaeon. RNAcentral describes it as "bacterial SSU rRNA". It matches the Rfam family "Archaeal small subunit ribosomal RNA", at positions 1 to 922 of the family's 1478-position model. The record is from RNAcentral.